This is a non-coding RNA of Stegodyphus dumicola, 73 nucleotides long. The record is from the annotation of a RefSeq genome assembly. NCBI's taxonomy places the organism in Eukaryota, Metazoa, Arthropoda, Arachnida, Araneae, Eresidae.
GCCUUCGUGGUGAAAUGGUUUAUCACACUCGGCGUGUAUUCGAGAGGUCCGGGUUCGAGUCCCGGCGAAGGCA